Long non-coding RNA from Neogale vison (American mink), 2777 nucleotides. RefSeq lists it as uncharacterized. The transcript is spliced from 3 exons. The record is from RefSeq and is a predicted model, not a curated record. Lineage: Eukaryota; Metazoa; Chordata; Mammalia; Carnivora; Mustelidae.
CCCAGCAGUGUGGGAGCCCAGGACCAGGCUGCUUGGGGCCCGGGAUCCCUGCUGGACACAGCUCUCUAUGUAUCCUGUCACAUCCGGGGAAGUCAGCAGGUGGGAACAUCCAGGAAAAAAUAGAACCGUGAAGCUGUCUUCCCAGCAGGCUUGUUUGCUGGGCGCUGGCACUGGGCCCUCUCCGGGCCAGGUGUGAGAGUAGGGAGAGAAGCCCAGGCCUUACCCUCAAAGGGUGUACAGUCUAGAAGAGGGCACGGAUGUGGAAACACCUCAGUGUGUCUUCAUGAGAAAACUGAAAAAAGGAAGGAAGUGAGGUAAGGAGGGAUAAGCAUACAAAAUAGAUCAAGAAUCUAACCACUUCUCCCCCUGCCCCCACUCACUGUCACCACCUUUGUCUCUCGAUUAGCCCAGAUUAUUGCAGCGGGGUCCUCAGCACUGCAGGCCUGCUCCUACCACAGGGGUUUGGGACUUGCUGCUCCCAUUGCCCUCGGACAGGUGUCCUUAUGAUUCAGCAUCUUUGUGUCUCUGUCCAAAUGUCCCUUCUCAGGGAGGCUUCCCUCUCAUCAAGGCCGCCCAGUUACAGUUCACAAGGUUCCUUUCUCUGCCAGCCCACAAAUGCUGUGGUAGGUGCAGUCCAGGUGGUUUCUCUCACAGACUCCUCACAGCCUGCUCUCCUGAGGCCUUCAGGACAGGUUUCCCAUUGGCCUCGGCUAGAGACAGUUUUCAUAGCCCUUAACCUUGCUAAUGUCAGCCAGUACCCUGGAAUCAAUCCUGCUUCCUUCAACUUACUUACCUGGAGCUGGUCCUCUCCUGUAUGGGGGCGUGGGAAAUUCCAGCAGAGCCUGGGUGCACCCUGCCCCCUUGACUGAGCUUAGCCCUGACCUACUGUAGCAGGCCUGGGUAACUGGUCACCAAACUCAUGUCCUCCUCUUCCUGGGCACCGAGCUGGAAUACACUUCCACCUCCUUCGUCAUCAAGGGUGGCCAACGGAGUGUGAGCUGAAGCCAUGCGUCUCUCCUGUGGGCUGAGGACAUUAAGAAACACACGUGCCUCGUCUACCUCCCUUUCCCCUGCUGCCGCGAUCACGUGGCCUAGGAGAUGGUGGAGUCCUGGGGACAGAAGGAGCUGGAGUGCCUGGAUCUCCCCUUAGAGGCAGGCUGCCUGCCAGUCAGAGUACCCACCUUGGACUUCAUGCUUCCAGGGAUGACAGCCGCUGAUGAGUGAACGCUCUCUGCUCCGGAGAUCUGCGUGCUGCUGUGGAAAGCAGCCUGGCAAUGCAGGAAGGCUCUUCCCAUGACCUUUCUGGAAGCCUGAAUCCAACAGCGUGUGACUUUGGGCGAGACUCCAGCUUUACCGAGAUUCAGUUUCCCCAUCCUUAAAAUGGGAGCAGUAGCCUCUGGCCAGGCCACCUCACAGAGGAAAAGGCGGGAAGCCCCGACCUACAGGAGCAGCUACGCUGAGCGGGUCUCUACGUACAUUACCUCUAGUUUAGUACUGAGGUAGGGAAACUGAGGCACACAGAGGUUUCAAAGUAACCUGCUUAAGUUCACCCAAUUAGGUAAGUAGUUGCCUCCACUCCUGACUUGGUCCUCCCCAUCUUCUCUCCCUUGUGAGUGGCACCACCACCCACCCAGGAGCUCAAAUCCGAGAACUCAGGUUAUGGCUGACUCCUUGUUUGCCUGCAUCUCCCAAAGCCCAGUUACUUUACCCCUCGCCUCCCCAGACAGCUGCCCGAUCCAGCCCUUCCUUCCAUGUCUGUAGCCACCAGUCUGGUCCAAGACCUCUGCACACCUCUCUGGGACUUCUGCGUUAACCCCCUCAGUGGUCUCACCCUCCAAGAGCAUCUUCUAGAAAUGCACAUCUGACCAUGCCAAAUCCCAGGUUAAGAGAGAUCAGUGGCUUCCUACUGCUCCUGUGACAAAACCUUGCUGUGGUCCAGCCAGCAAGAGCCAGCCUCAUCUUGAAUGCCAUCUGCCCACCCGUCUCCUCUCCAUUCCAGUCAGGGCAGAAUUCUCCUUGGUCCGUGAACGCUCACCAACUCCCUCCUUGGUGGGAGCGGCCUUUGUAUAUGCUGUUCCUUCUGUGUGCGAUACUUUUCCUUCCCCGCUUCACCUAGUGUAGCCUUGAUCACCCUUCAUGUCUCAGGUCCAGUGUCACUUCUUUGAAAACUUGUCCCUGACCUCUGUGACAAGGUAACACCCCUUACAUCCCUCAACACCGUUACUAAUCUCUGUCUACUUGAGCUGUUAUUUGGUGAACAUGCAUCUCCUUUCCAUGACUUGAAGCUCUGUGAGGACAGGAACGGCGACCAUUUUGCUCACCAUUGAAACCAGUGCCUGCACCAUGUCUGACCCAUAGCAGAACUUCUACAUUGGCUGAGUGAGGCAAUCCUUGAAAGUGGAACUUGAAAUCCAAGUGCGCCUGGCUCCUCGCUCACCAACGUUGUGAGGAAUUGUAUUCGUCUGCUCAGGCCACCAUGGCAAGAGACCGCAGACUGGGUGGCUUAACCAACAGGAAUGUAUUCUGUCAUCAUUCUAGAGGCUGGAAGACCCAAGUUAAGGUGCUGGCAGACGUGGCUUCCAGUGAGACCUGUCUCCUCAGCUUGCAAACGCACAUUCUUGCUGCGCCCUCAUGUAGCCUUCUCUGUGUGCACCCAAGGAGAGAGAGGGAGAAAUCUGUUGUCCUUUCUUAUAAAGACACCAGGAGGGGCAUCCAGGUAGUUGAGUUGUUAGGCAUCUGCCUUCUGCUCAAGUCAUGAUCCCAGGAUUCUGGGAUCC